UUGAAAAAAAAAAAAAAGGAAAAUAGCAGGGCACCACAGCCGAUCAGACCCAUCAUUACAUCAACAAGAAUGAUCCAAUUUCAAGCCGUUCUUCGUCUUUCUACAGCUUCUCUUCUCAAUCCUCCAACUUCUAAUACGUAAUAAUCACUCACUUUCAGAGAUAUAAGCAAAAUUUUGUUAUUCGUAGCUAUAGAUAUAGAGACAGGAAGAGAUUGGGAGAGAAGGAGAAAUGGAUCCAGAGCAGACUUUUAUAAGGUUACAAGAAAGGUUCUCGCAGAUGCUAACACCCAAAGUCAGGGCUGCUUUGGAAUAUAUGUAUUUGUUCAUAGCCGUCACUCUCUUUUGUGUUCUCGUUGUCAUGCACGCCAAUUAUGUUCAACAGCCUGGAUGUUCAUGUGAGCUGUCUGGUGCUGAAACAAUGGAAGCGCAAAUUAUUCAAAUCAAGAUAACCAGUGCAGGCUUGUGGUCACACAAUGAAUCUGAGUCCAAUAUAGCGGAUGUUCCUGGAGUGGAGACUGUAUCAGAUAAACUAACAUUGCUAAAUGUGGAUGAAGAUGGAUUGACAUUUCUGGCUCCAGAGUUUUGGUUGAAUUGGAUUAGAUUGAGCGCUAAGAAAGGAAAGCUAGCACUGAAAUUCUGGAAGACUGAUUCUGAAAAUCUUGGAUAUCAACAUGGAAGCUCUGCCAGCAGCGAUAGCUCUAAGCCAAUGGUUGAUGAUGAUGUCACUAAAACUGAUAAAGUGGAGACACGCAGUAGUUUCCCUAUAUCAGCCAAGGAAACUUUUAAAGCAGCCAUUAUUCAUUUUGGCAAAAAAUGGCACGGGCGUUUAUCAUUUAUUUGGAGACAUGCAGUGCAAAUAAUACGAAGUUUCCAGAAAUUGUGGAAUAUCACAGGCAUCCAUUUAAAUCUUGAUGUUCCCAAGUGGAUGAGAAUACUUUACUUGGACAGGCUUAACACAUAUGCAGUUCAAUGGCUGGAGAAGAAGAGCAAGGCUUUUGAACCAACUUAUUUAUACACCAUGGAAAAGGGUUAUUUCUUGCUUCCUGAGGAUGCUAAGUCUCGGCAUAAUAUACGUACUGUUAACAUUACUAUAUCAGCUCGGCAUCCUUGCUUUGGGAACAGGUGGCAGCAGCUUCUCAUUAACAGAAUUGUUGGAUACGAUACCAUACUGAUGAAUAGUUUAUUGAGUUCUCCUGGACAAGGUUAUCUUUAUAAUUUUCAAACAAAGGAGUUCUACAAUCUUAGUUAUCCACAACAACCACCUGAAGGUCCUGCAAAAUUUGGAGACUAUCUUGUGACCAAGUGUGGCGUGCUUAUGAUGUCGCUGUUUGUUUUCUUCACCACCACAAUGUCAGUAUCCUUUACAUUGAGAGAGACACAGACUCGAAUGCUGAAAUUUACAGGUGUGCUUUAUUUCAAUUUGUAUAUAGAGGAUGUGUAAUAUAGUAUUGUCGCUAUUCGAUACAUGCAUCCUUGAGGUUGUUUCUUUUCUGCUAAUUUUCAUGUCUCCUUAUGUCUUAAAAUCUUGCAAGUAGGUUCAAAGUUCACUGUUGGUUAGGUUUUCUAGGAUAUACAAUCUUUGUGCUGAUGGUUUAUAACAAGAGGCCUGUCUUUUUUUGAUAUCAUUUAAUCUACAGAUUUUAGAUACAAAGUGUACAUGCUUUGGAUACCAAUUGCGUGUUUACUUUUUUGAAAUUUUGCAGUGCAGCUUCAACACCAUGCUCAACAUCGGCUGCCAACCUUUCAGUUGAUCUUUGUGCAUGUGAUUGAGUCACUUGUCUUUGUUCCUGUAAGAAAAAAUCUUGUUGAGUUAGUACUGAUGAGAUAUUCUGGCAAUCAGCUCUCCAAUUACUUCUUUUAAAUGUUCAGUGUUUGCUUGAUAUCAACUUCUAAUGUAAAUUCUUAUUCAGUAGUAUUUGUGCCAAUAUUUCUCACUGGGAGUUAAUAACUGAUGGUGUUUUCCAUUGGUUUUGCAGAUAAUGAUUGGGAUCUUAUUUUUUCUGUUCGAGUUUUAUGAUGAUCAGCUUUUGGCUUUCAUGGUCUUAAUUCUUGUUUGGUUGUGUGAACUAUUCACACUGAUCAGUGUGCGCACGCCAAUAUCAAUGAAGUUCUUUCCACGCUUCUUUUUACUCUAUUUUCUAGUUUUUCACAUCUACUUCUUUUCCUAUGCAUAUGGUUUUUCAUAUUUGGCGCUCUCUACAACUGCAGCAUUUAUGCAGCACCUCAUUCUAUACUUCUGGAACCGUUUUGAGGUACCAGCUUUACAACGGUUUAUGCAAAACAGACGGUCACAGCUACAACACCACCCAGACUUCCAUAUCACAUCCUCUACCAUCCUUGCAUCAACUUUACACAUUACAAGAUUGAACACUAGGAAUGAAGGUCCGGUUAACACAGACUUGGCUUCCGGACCGGGAUUUAGACCUGUGUCUGACCAAGCAGUUCGAGCAAAUGGACUAGAACCUCCUGGACCUCAACAACGCAUAGGAAAUGACAAUCUGCGCAGGUUAGGCAAUACUAUGCAGAUUCCAGGUCAAACAGAUCUUCGGCAACCAGAAACUGGUUCCAGCCCUGGGUCCAUGAACUCAUUUAGUUCACUGCUAUUAUGGAUCUUGGGAGGGGCUUCUUCUGAAGGCCUCAACUCGCUUUUUUCAAUGUUUAGAGAUGUGAGAGAGCAAGGACAAGUUUAUGCUGACUCUCCCAGAGCUGAAAACCGUGCAAACCAGGAUGUGCAAUGAUAGUGGUAUUGCAUUUGAAUGUUGGUUUUUAAGUGUACAUCUCUGUAUUUUAUGCUAAUCACAUAAUAUAUUGGAAUGCAUACUGGAAUUUCUGUAUAGAAAAUGCAAUAUGUAUCUAUAUCAUUAUCAUAUAUUAAAUGUCAACCCUCUUUUGUUAACCUGGAACGGGAGAAAAAUCCAAUGGGAAGUUCACAGGGAUAUAUAUUGCUUCUGUUUAGCUGCUGACAGGUACUUUUCUGCGUUAUAUGCUCUUUGUUGAAC
RNAcentral lists this unclassified non-coding RNA (2999 nucleotides) under Hevea brasiliensis (rubber tree). The record is from RNAcentral. Lineage: Eukaryota; Viridiplantae; Streptophyta; Magnoliopsida; Malpighiales; Euphorbiaceae.